AUCGUAGCCUUAAAUAUAAUCGACUAGGUUAAAAAUGAACCUAAGGUUUUCAAAUUAGCAAUUUCUUUUGCUUAAGCUCUCAAAUACUCUACAGCACUUAAAGCUUCUUUAAAAAUUCUCAACAUCACUAAGAACAUCAUCUAUAAGCUUAAUACUGCUGACAGCAUGAACUAGAAUAAUGAAAACUUACUGCUCCAGUAACCCAACUAGCAUAUUCACUACAGAGAUGGGGAGAAUAAACCACUGAGAGUAUAACCGACUUGCUCGAUGUUGCACAACACCGUUGGAUCACUGGAGAAACCAAGUUUGGUCUUAUCUAUACUGAAAGGAUUAUAGGUAUUUUCACCACUGAAGAUUGAAGUCCUUGCAUCAUAACUAUCAUACUUACAUCAGGAUGUCCUGCCACCUUGAUUAAUUCAGCAACAGCAUUCUUAACUGAAGUUGGGUCUCUCACAUCACACUGGAUUGCAUGAACCUAUAUAUUAAAUGGAGAAAAAGGCAAUUGUAAGACUUUAUAAAAAUAUUACUCAUGAGACAAAGAAUUUUUUUAAAUUCUUUAAAAUGCAGUAAAAACUAAUAAAAAUACAAACUUAUCUAAAAAUAUACCUUGUUUCCUGUUUUAGAAGAAAUUUCUUCCGCAGU
Mauremys reevesii (Reeves's turtle) is the source of this 642-nucleotide long non-coding RNA. RefSeq lists it as uncharacterized. The record is from RefSeq and is a predicted model, not a curated record. Lineage: Eukaryota; Metazoa; Chordata; Testudines; Geoemydidae. The transcript has 3 exons.